Molecule: ribosomal RNA, 393 nt
Filed under: Gammanema sp. 3L22D15
Lineage: Eukaryota; Metazoa; Nematoda; Chromadorea; Chromadorida; Selachinematidae
Description: bacterial SSU rRNA
Rfam family: Eukaryotic small subunit ribosomal RNA
Source: RNAcentral
GGCUUGUCUCCAAGAUUAAGCCAUGCAUGUUUAAGCACAAGCCAAAUAAUGGUAAAGCCGCGAAUGGCUCAUUACAACAGCCAUUGUUUAUUGGAUCUGUUUCAACUUGGAUAACUGUGGUAAUUCUAGAGCUAAUACAUGUAUCAAAGCUCUAACCGUAAGGAAAGAGCGCAUUUAUUAGACCAAAACCAACCGGCAUUUUGCCGUUUCUUGGUGAAUCUGAAUAACUAUGUAAAUCGCACAGUCAAAGAACUGGCGAUAAGUCUUUCAAGUGUCUGCCUUAUCAACUUUCGAUGGUAGUUUAUAUGCCUACCAUGGUUAUAACGGGUAACGGAGAAUAAGGGUUCGACUCCGGAGAGGGAGCCUGAGAAAUGGCUACCACAUCCAAGGAAG